This 478-nucleotide ribosomal RNA is filed under the name uncultured Pseudomonadota bacterium. RNAcentral's name for it is "bacterial SSU rRNA". It matches the Rfam family "Bacterial small subunit ribosomal RNA", at positions 8 to 522 of the family's 1533-position model. Lineage: Bacteria; Pseudomonadati; Pseudomonadota. The record is from RNAcentral.
AGAGUUUGAUCAUGGCUCAGAACGAACGCUGGCGGCAGGCCUAACACAUGCAAGUCGAACGAGAAGCCACCUUCGGGUGGUGGACAGUGGCAGACGGGUGAGUAACGCGUGGGAACGUGCCUUUCGGUUCGGAAUAACCCAGGGAAACUUGGGCUAAUACCGGAUACGCCCUUCGGGGGAAAGAUUCAUCGCCGAAAGAUCGGCCCGCGUCGGAUUAGCUAGUUGGUGGGGUAAUGGCUCACCAAGGCGACGAUCCGUAGCUGGUCUGAGAGGAUGACCAGCCACACUGGGACUGAGACACGGCCCAGACUCCUACGGGAGGCAGCAGUGGGGAAUAUUGGACAAUGGGCGAAAGCCUGAUCCAGCCAUGCCGCGUGGGUGAAGAAGGCCUUAGGGUUGUAAACCCCUUUCAGCGGGGAAGAUAAUGACGGUACCCGCAGAAGAAGUCCCGGCUAACUCCGUGCCAGCAGCCGCGGUA